RNAcentral lists this ribosomal RNA (342 nucleotides) under Deltaproteobacteria bacterium GWA2_50_8. RNAcentral describes it as "bacterial SSU rRNA". It matches the Rfam family "Bacterial small subunit ribosomal RNA", at positions 1 to 337 of the family's 1533-position model. Lineage: Bacteria; Deltaproteobacteria. The record is from RNAcentral.
UUUACAACGAAGAGUUUGAUCCUGGCUCAGGAUGAACGCUAGCGGGAGGCUUAACACAUGCAAGUCGAGGGGCAGCACGGGUAGUAAUAUCUGGUGGCGACCGGCGCACGGGUGCGUAACGCGUAUGCAACUUACCUCUAACUGGGGCAUAGCUUCGAGAAAUCGGAAUUAAUACCCCAUAACAUUAUGAAGUGGCAUCACUUUAUAAUUAAAGCUCCGGCGGUUAGAGAUGGGCAUGCGUGACAUUAGCUAGUUGGUAAGGUAAUGGCUUACCAAGGCUACGAUGUCUAGGGGGUCUGAGAGGAUGAUCCCCCACACUGGUACUGAGACACGGACCAGACU